Long non-coding RNA from Carcharodon carcharias (great white shark), 1015 nucleotides. RefSeq lists it as uncharacterized. Lineage: Eukaryota; Metazoa; Chordata; Chondrichthyes; Lamniformes; Lamnidae. The record is from RefSeq and is a predicted model, not a curated record. The transcript has 5 exons.
UUAUUUUUAUGUCGAAAAUAUACAAGAACUGGGAUGUGUGGUGAGAGCCUCAAAUAAGUAGUUCCUUCAGACUGAAAUCAGCUGUACAGUCGAAAUGUCAGAACUUAACAAAAGACUAUCAAGAACUCUUGAGCAAUGUUGUUGACCUUCAUCCACAUAACCAUUAGCUGAAAGAAGCUGUAGAUGUAAGCAUUCCCUAUACUCUGUUUGUCGGCAAAGAGCACUCCAAAGAAAUAAUAGCAAAAGCAAGCCAGGAUGGCAUAAAAUGGGAUACAAUCCUUCUUUUCACAGCUGACUAAUUUUAAAGACCAAAAGAAAUACAAGACAUCGAAAGCUACACUUUCGAGGGAAGUGAGGGCAACACCCAUAAGGCUGAACCAAAGGAAGGCAGUAAGAUGGUGAAUGAUAAACAGCAGAAAGGCACAAAUAUGCGAUAAUGAACAUCUCCACCUACUCUGUCAGAAUGCUCCUUUUAGAGCAUUACAAACAUUAACUUGGAAGAAAAGGAAGGAUCUAUGAUCUUUGGAUUGCAGAAGCCACAAGGAAGGGCUUUUGCGACUGAAGACACUGAGAUGGCUGGCUAAUGAGCUGAAAAAUGACUAUGAGGAACUUUUGAAGAAACUGAAUAUUAAGCAGAGCAAAAUGCAGGCAAUAAAAUCCAAAUGCCCAGAGAAUGUGAACGAACAAUCAUAGACAUAAUUAUUUGCUGGAGGAAUAGCCAGCCUAGGUUCACUGAUAAAGUUGCAAUCUUGGCAACUGAGUUAACCUAGUGCAAAUGUCAAGACCGAGCUAUUGCAACAUAUGAAAAUGUUAUACCUGUAAAUGAUAAAUGACUAGAUUGUCAGUGCUUUACAGUCAAUUUGGUUUUCUGAAAAUAUUCAUAGCUAACUUCAACAUUCAUUCUGCAGCAAUGAUGUAUUAAUAUGUAUCAUACUAACUAAAUUGUUAAAUCAUAGGGGAUUAUUUCAAAAGCUGUCAAUAAACCCUACAUUUAUGAAUAAUCCCUUGGAAGAAU